This is a non-coding RNA of Pelobates cultripes (western spadefoot toad), 305 nucleotides long. The record is from the annotation of a GenBank genome assembly. Lineage: Eukaryota; Metazoa; Chordata; Amphibia; Anura; Pelobatidae.
UGGACCUAUGUUUCAAUUCUGUGAGAUUCCUCUCGUGUCUAUCGGUUUCGUUCCUCAACAACACCGUAUUUGUAUCUCUAACAUGUAUUAACACCUUACAUUCUAUAUUGCAGGUGAAACUCCCCUUUAUCAAUUGCUGUGUUUUAUAUUGUGAUACCCGUGUCUUUAAAUUAUCCCUUGCAUAAAUAGGUUUUCCUUUCCACUCUUAUACUUCAUAUCCUUCAUCUCGUAUGUAUAUCUACAUGUGAAUACUGCUCUUUCUCUAUUUGUAAUUAUUUUUAAAAUUUGUGAACUUUGUAUCUUAG